Molecule: non-coding RNA, 2190 nt
Organism: Phoenix dactylifera (date palm)
Lineage: Eukaryota; Viridiplantae; Streptophyta; Magnoliopsida; Arecales; Arecaceae
Source: RefSeq, a predicted model, not a curated record
ACUUUCAAUUGAAUGGUUUAUAGUAUUAUAAAAACUUGGUUGCUAUAUGAUUAUCGCGUUGUUUGGGUCAAAACCGCAGAUCCGCCAACCGCCAAGGCCGCAUCCGACAUCUCCCCCCACCCCUCCACUCGUUGACUCAGGCUUCCUCCUCCUCCUCCCCCCCCUCCUCCUCCGCAAUCCUCCUCAUCCUUCUCUCCGCUACUCUCAAAACUAUAAUCCAAACACACCGCCAUCCGAAGAAACCCUAAUAGGAGCGCCACGGCUCGGCGACUCAACGGGCUUCGAAAGUUUCGAUUUUUAGGUCGAAAUCGAUACCUUCUGGUUGUCGGAGUACAAGAUUACUUCUAGAAAAGGGCGUUCUUGGUGAUCCUUUUAUGCCCCUUUUCUUCUCCCUGGGUUGGAAGAGGAGAUGCUGCGGGGCGGGGGAGCCAAGGGCGGGCUGGGUGGUGGGAGAUGCCUGCCGCUGGCAAUCGUGGCGGUCGACGCUGUUCUUGCUAUCGUUGAUGGGGCCAUCGCAAUCGUGGCCUUCUUGCAGUUAUUAAGAAUCCACUUACGCAAUCAACAACUUGGCUGGACUCGCCAAAAGAUUUUCCAUCUCAUGAUUGGGUCAUACAACUUAGGUUACUUGACAUAUUUCAUCUUUACUCCUUUUGCUACUUGUGGGGAUUGGCCGUGCUGGUCACGCGGUUGUGGGUUUUUCUUGAUGGCUUGUCCUGAAAUUUUGUUUCUAGCUGCAUUCCUUCUGCUCUUGUCAUUUUGGGUCGAUCUGUGCCACCAGGCAAAUGAUGAAGACGAAGAAGAUGAUGAAAGUAGCUAUAAUGAAGCUUUGUUGGAAAAGUCAAAGACGAAGAUAAGUUCAUUACACACAGAUGGUCGGAGGAGAUGUUGUUCUUUCGGGACUAUGCAUGUUGGAAGCCGACAGAAAUUUGUGAUCUUGGUGAUUGCACUGACAUUUGUUUUUAUGAUUGCAUUUGCUCUCCUCAUUUGGGUUGGUAGAGCCAACAAUCCUAUUGAUUCUUCACUCGUGGCUAGGGUCUAUUUUUUCAUCUCUUCUGUGGCCAUCCUUCUACUAGGUUGUGCUUUGGCGUGCUAUGGACUACUGCUAUUCUCCAAAAUGAGCAAAAUACGAUCCGAGAUGGCCUCAACUGAAAUGUGGAAGGUUGCAAGUCUGGCAGCUAUCACUCUCAUAUGUUUCACAUCAUCUGCUGUACUAGCCCUUGUUACUAAUAUUCCGUUGCAGCUGCUUUCUUAUUGGCACUCAGCACGUAUGGACAGCAUAAGCAGUUCAAUUCUAAUAUUUCUUUAUUACUUUAUAGGUUCAUCAGUGCCAUCAGGUUUUGUAUUGUGGGUCAUGAGAGAACUGCCUCCUCAGCCAGCAGCUGAUAGACCAGAAGAAUCAAGAGUAGUAACAUUUAUGAGGGAAAGUCCAAUAGAUACCCAUAAUCUUCAGUGGAGGACUGCUGUCACAUCAUCACAGAAUAAGGUACGCCCACAAUCUCCUGGGCAAAUUUCCUCUUUUCGCCUAUUCAGUGGAUUGGCUACCUAUUUACAUCAGAUGCAGAGUUCUUGGUGAAUCUUGGGCAAUAUGAAAAUUCAAUGGCUGAUAUUCUGCCUUGAGGACCAUCAAGUUGAUUUCCCUUAACAUAUAGCUUCUUAUUGAAUUCAACAAAUGCAGCCCCGAGGUCUGAGAGGAAUCAGGCUCUCAAAGCAAGCCCCAUAUAGCAACCUUGUGAUCUCGUAAUUCUUAAGCUGAUUUACAUGCAAACAGAGCAUUUCAAUUGAAGCUGCCACUAUCCGAACCAACAGAGCAAGGGUGCUGAUUUAGGCAUCACACCAUUGCUCACUGCUUCUAUGGGGAUUGAUCACAAGGAUACGGUAACAGGAGGGCAGAUGGAAGCAUUCUACUCCUUACAAGUCGGAAUGCAAAUAACUGUAAUAUGUUGGCAGGCCCUGGAGGCAGGUUCUUGGUCAUCAAUUAACCAAGAACUUUUUUGGCGGAUGUUAUGUUUAACAUAAGUUAAUAAUGUAUUUGAUCAAUGGCUCUUAUCGCCAAUUUUUUGAUGUGAUCUGAUGUGCUAAUUUCAGUAUCUUACUCUGUUGACAAUGUCUCGAGUUCACCGACUUACAGACUGCUUGAUUUGAGCCUGUGAUGUAAUACAGACCUAGUCCGAAGCUAUCUAACUUUAAAAA